This 546-nucleotide ribosomal RNA is filed under the name Lophiotoma cf. acuta NP-2008. Its description in RNAcentral is "partial 12S ribosomal RNA". The record is from RNAcentral. Lineage: Eukaryota; Metazoa; Mollusca; Gastropoda; Neogastropoda; Turridae.
CACCAAAGAGUUAAGUCAUAUAAUAACGGUAAAAAGACAGUUAGACAUAAUUUAUUUAAGGUUUACUAAGCUUUUAUAAAAAGGUAAAAUUUGUAUAUAAUUGUAUGUUUUAAUAAAAACCGAAAAGUUGAAUCUGUGACAGCCUGGAGGGAAACUGGGAUUAGAUACCCCAUUAUUCCUGGAUAUAAACUAAUUUAAAUUUACCAGAGUACUAUGAAUAUAUAAAAUUUAAAACUCAAAGGACUUGGCGGUAUUUUAGACCACUUAGGGGAACCUGUCUCAUAAUCGAUAAUCCACGUUACACCUAACCUUUUUUUGCUCUCAGCUUGUAUAUCGUUGUCGUCAGGUAACUUUUUAGAAAUCAGGAGUUAGCUAAAAACAGUAAAUUAAAACGUCAAAUCAAGGUGCAGUUAAUAAAAAGGGGAAGAUGGGUUACAAUUAUUUUAGUUAUAAUCACGGAAAAUUAUAAGAACUUUAUAGUUAAGAAGGAGGACUUAAAAGUAAAUUAAAUUAUAUAAAUAAUUUGAAUAAGGCUCUGAAAUGUGC